AACGAACGCUGGCGGCAGGCUUAAAACAUGCAAGUCGAACGGAUGUAGCAAUACAUUAGUGGCGCACGGGUGAGUAACGCGUGGGAACGUGCCCUUCAGUACGGAAUAACAUCGGGAAACUGAUGCUAAUACCGUAUAAUGUCUUCGGACCAAAGAUUUAUCGCUGAAGGAUCGGCCCGCGUUGGAUUAGGUAGUUGGUGAGGUAACGGCUCACCAAGCCGACGAUCCAUAGCUGGUCUGAGAGGAUGAUCAGCCACACUGGGACUGAGACACGGCCCAGACUCCUACGGGAGGCAGCAGUUAAGAAUCUUGCGCAAUGGGCGCAAGCCUGACGCAGCGACGCCGCGUGCGCGAUGAAGGCCUCGGUUGUAAGACGCAAUAGACAGGAAGAAGAAAGUAGACGGUAACCUGUUGAAAGACACCGGCGUAACUAACGUGCCAGCAGCCGCGGU
RNAcentral lists this ribosomal RNA (452 nucleotides) under uncultured bacterium. RNAcentral's name for it is "bacterial SSU rRNA". It matches the Rfam family "Bacterial small subunit ribosomal RNA", at positions 29 to 521 of the family's 1533-position model. The record is from RNAcentral.